This 254-nucleotide ribosomal RNA is filed under the name uncultured bacterium. RNAcentral's name for it is "partial 16S ribosomal RNA". It matches the Rfam family "Bacterial small subunit ribosomal RNA", at positions 524 to 776 of the family's 1533-position model. The record is from RNAcentral.
UACGUAGGGUGCAAGCGUUAAUCGGAAUUACUGGGCGUAAAGCGUGCGCAGGCGGUGAUGUAAGACAGUUGUGAAAUCCCCGGGCUCAACCUGGGAACUGCAUCUGUGACUGCAUCGCUGGAGUGCGGCAGAGGGGGGAUGGAAUUCCGCGUGUAGCAGUGAAAUGCGUAGAUAUGCGGAGGAACACCGAUGGCGAAGGCAAUCCCCUGGGCCUGCACUGACGCUCAGGCACGAAAGCGUGGGGAGCAAACAGG